AAGUUAGCGGCGGACGGGUGAGUAACACGUGGGCAACCUGCCUAUAAGACUGGGAUAACUCCGGGAAACCGGGGCUAAUACCGGAUAGUUCUUUUCCUCUCAUGAGGAAAAGGGGAAAGAUGGUUUCGGCUAUCACUUAUAGAUGGGCCCGCGGCGCAUUAGCUAGUUGGUAAGGUAACGGCUUACCAAGGCGACGAUGCGUAGCCGACCUGAGAGGGUGAUCGGCCACACUGGGACUGAGACACGGCCCAGACUCCUACGGGAGGCAGCAGUAGGGAAUCUUCCGCAAUGGACGAAAGUCUGACGGAGCAACGCCGCGUGAACGAAGAAGGCCUUCGGGUCGUAAAGUUCUGUUGUUAGGGAAGAACAAGUAUGAGAGUAACUGCUCGUACCUUGACGGUACCUAACCAGAAAGCCACGGCUAACUACGUGCCAGCAGCCGCGGUAAUACGUAGGUGGCAAGCGUUGUCCGGAUUUAUUGGGCGUAAAGCGCGCGCAGGUGGUUUCUUAAGUCUGAUGUGAAAGCCCACGGCUCAACCGUGGAAGGUCAUUGGAAACUGGGGAACUUGAGUGCAGAAGAGGAAAGUGGAAUUCCAAGUGUAGCGGUGAAAUGCGUAGAUAUUUGGAGGAACACCAGUGGC
Molecule: ribosomal RNA, 641 nt
Filed under: uncultured Bacillus sp.
Lineage: Bacteria; Bacillati; Bacillota; Bacilli; Caryophanales; Bacillaceae
Description: bacterial SSU rRNA
Rfam family: Bacterial small subunit ribosomal RNA
Source: RNAcentral